GCUGCUGACCCGUACAAGCUGCUGCGCUGCAUUGUUGCUGACCCGUACAUGCUGCUGCGCUGCUUUGUUGUUGACACGUGCACCUUUUUGUGCUGACGAGGGCACCAACUUUCUGAUAUCAUGUUUUCCUUUUGCCAUGUCAGUCGUCAGUUGUCAGACGUUCGUUGUCAGAGUCAGUUGUCCGACGUUCGUCGUCAGUUGUCCGACGGUCGUCGUCAGUUGUUAGACAUUCGUUUUCAGUGUUGGUUCUUCUUUAUGAGUUCCCCAGUCGCCUACUGAAAUGAAGUAGAAGAAAAGCUCUCUAACAAUUUGUACUGGCUCUCUGUUGUGUGGCGUGGCGAGGAGCGUAGAGGCAGUUCGUUCACGGUUUCAAACCCGUGACGACAUUUGGCGCCCAACUAAUCGAACCCACGACCCAGAAGCUCGUCCCUCUCCGGCCGGUGUUUUUCGUUUUCCUCUUCGCGUUCUCGCCAUGGCUCCGCUUUGCUGCGUCUGUUCAACCCUUUCCUAGAUCCUCGGAGCUCCUACUCAGUUUCUGUAGCGCCAUCGGUUUUCGGACAGCCGGCCAGUGUGCGUCCUGCUGCCCCAGUCUUCUUCUCGGCCGGUGCGUGCUGUUGGUCUCGCCGCUCCUGGAAGCGUCGCUGGGUCCGUCGGCAUAACCUGUUUUCUCAUGCAUUUGUACUUUUGUUUUUGUCAUGACUGGUGGAUGGGUGGCAUACUAGGUUGGUGCUGUUCUAAGAAUAAAAGAUCCAAAGGGACAAACACAGGUCGAACAGCUCGCCAGCCGGGAUCCUUUGCAAAAUCUGUUGCUUGCAGGUUCCGUUGAUUGGUGCACAGUUUUGCGGGGCUCCCGACUGGUGUUAACCCUCCUGGCCUACUCGUCAUGCGUUCAACAGUUGUGGCCCACCUCUUUUGUGUUUUAUUGUCGCCUGUUUAUGUUGCUUCAUAUUUCAUUUCCCCUGUCUUUCUGUCUUCUUCUCCGGUCUGUCUUCUUCCGUUUUUUAUACACUUCACUUUUGCUUCCAUCCACAGGAGUGGAUGUCUUUUUUUUGGUAGGGGAUAGUGUUGUACCUGCGCCUGCACGUGUUA
Sycon ciliatum is the source of this 1089-nucleotide long non-coding RNA. RefSeq lists it as uncharacterized. Lineage: Eukaryota; Metazoa; Porifera; Calcarea; Leucosolenida; Sycettidae. The transcript has 2 exons. The record is from RefSeq and is a predicted model, not a curated record.